Molecule: ribosomal RNA, 373 nt
Filed under: uncultured organism
Description: partial 16S ribosomal RNA
Rfam family: Bacterial small subunit ribosomal RNA
Source: RNAcentral
GUAGGUGGCAAGCGUUGUCCGGAAUUAUUGGGGCGUAAAGCGCGCGCAGGCGGUUCUUUAAGUCUGAUGUGAAAGCCCACGGGCUCAACCGUGGAGGGUCAUUGGAAACUGGAGAACUGAGUACAGAAGAGGAAAGCGGAAUUCCACGUGUAGCGGUGAAAUGCGUAGAGAUGUGGAGGAACACCAGUGGCGAAGGCGGCUUUCUGGUCUGUAACUGACGCUGAGGCGCGAAAGCGUGGGGAGCAAACAGGAUUAGAUACCCUGGUAGUCCACGCCGUAAACGAUGAGUGCUAAGUGUUAGGGGGUUUCCGCCCCUUAGUGCUGCAGCUAACGCAUUAAGCACUCCGCCUGGGGAGUACGGCCGCAAAGGCUG